This 351-nucleotide unclassified non-coding RNA is filed under the name soil metagenome. RNAcentral describes it as "partial contains 5.8S ribosomal RNA, internal transcribed spacer 2, and large subunit ribosomal RNA". The stretch from base 1 to 120 matches the Rfam family "5.8S ribosomal RNA", at positions 35 to 154 of the family's 154-position model. The record is from RNAcentral.
GAUGAAGAACGUAGCGAAAUGCGAUAAGUAAUGCGAAUUGCAGAAUCCGUGAGUCAUCGAAUCUUUGAACGCACAUUGCGCCCCUUGGUUAUUCCGAAGGGCAUGCCUGUUCGAGCGUCAUUAUCACCCCUCAAGCCCUGGCUUGGUGUUGGACUUUAGUUAUAGCUUUGCCUAUCAACUGGUCUCAAAGAUAGUGACGGCGCCCCAGAGGGAACCGGGUACGAGGAGCUUUUUACUAAGCAUGUAUCUGGGACGACUCUGGGCGACGGUCUUGUUAUACUUUUUACCUAAGUGUUGACCUCGGAUCAGGUAGGAAUACCCGCUGAACUUAAGCAUAUCAAUAGCGGAGGA